UACGGUGGGAGCUAGUGUUAUUGUGAUGACUGGGCGUAGGGUAUGUAGGUGGUGAAAGUCGGUGUAAAUUAAAUCCUGGGUUGCAACCCUUGUUCGUUUACUUUCCAUAUUUCACUAGAAAUCUGAGAGGGGCACUGGUAUAUUCAUGGAGGAGUUAAAUAUGAGAUAUGAAUAGGACCGACGGUGGUGAAAGCAAGUUCCUAGUCCAGUAUUGAGCUAAGGUACGAAGGCAGGGGAGCAAAAGGG
RNAcentral lists this ribosomal RNA (246 nucleotides) under uncultured bacterium. Its description in RNAcentral is "partial 16S ribosomal RNA". It matches the Rfam family "Bacterial small subunit ribosomal RNA", at positions 524 to 776 of the family's 1533-position model. The record is from RNAcentral.